Molecule: unclassified non-coding RNA, 182 nt
Organism: Chelonoidis abingdonii (Abingdon island giant tortoise)
Lineage: Eukaryota; Metazoa; Chordata; Testudines; Testudinidae
Source: Ensembl
GUGACAGAUACUCUGGAGACCAAUGUUCCCGGUCCAUUCAUGGAGCAAGUACAGCACAGGCAAUAGGAACAAGCUUCCCUCAACCUGCCUCUUGCCAAGGUACCUCAACCCUGCCCUGGAGGUUCCACUCUACGGAAGAAACAGGAGCUCACUCUCCACAACCCAUUCGGUCCUUAGCCAGC